Long non-coding RNA from Phacochoerus africanus (Common warthog), 340 nucleotides. RefSeq lists it as uncharacterized. The transcript has 3 exons. NCBI's taxonomy places the organism in Eukaryota, Metazoa, Chordata, Mammalia, Artiodactyla, Suidae. The record is from RefSeq and is a predicted model, not a curated record.
AGCAGGCGAGGAUGGCAGCGUUGUCUUUGGAGCCAGGGGAGCAGUGGUGGAAGCCGAAGGCCAGGCCAGGCUCCGUGGGGACGAGACCCCUCCAGUGGCGGUGGUGGCAGGAGAGAUCCCAAGGCUGGAGCGGAUUGAGCGUGAUCCCACGGUGACGUCCCACGUCCUCUUGGGUGUUGUGAAUGGUUGCGUGUUUGAAUGGACUGUGUGGGAAUUACUGAAUCCGUCAAUGAAGUAACACACGCGAACGAGGCACAGAGACUCCGUCACGGACCAGUGAUGAGGCGCGUGACGGGAAGAGUCCUGAAGGAUGAAAGCAUCUCUGAAACUCUGAGGUCUG